GGCCGUCUAGCUCAGUUGGUUAGAGCGUCGUGCUAAUAUAAGCCGUGUUCGCAUAGUUGUAUUACGCGAAGGUCUUGGGUUCGACCCCCACGAUGGCCA
Molecule: non-coding RNA, 99 nt
Organism: Mycena epipterygia
Lineage: Eukaryota; Fungi; Basidiomycota; Agaricomycetes; Agaricales; Mycenaceae
Source: the annotation of a GenBank genome assembly